RNAcentral lists this ribosomal RNA (463 nucleotides) under uncultured bacterium. RNAcentral describes it as "bacterial SSU rRNA". It matches the Rfam family "Bacterial small subunit ribosomal RNA", at positions 46 to 507 of the family's 1533-position model. The record is from RNAcentral.
GCUUAAUACAUGCAAGUCGACUUGCUUUGAUUAGCAAUAGUCAAAAGAGAGUGGCGCACGGGUGAGUAACACGUAGAUAAUCUACCCUCAGGACUGACAUAAUGUAGAGAAAUCUGCACUAAUAUCAGAUGAAACAAAAUCCUGGCAUCAGAGAUUUUGUCAAAGUUUUAACGCCUGAAGAUGAGUCUGCGGUCCAUUAGGUAGUUGGCGGUUUAACAGACCACCAAGCCGACGAUGGAUAGCUGGUCUGAGAGGAUGAUCAGCCACACUGGAACUGAGACACGGUCCAGACUCCUACGGGAGGCAGCAGUAAGGAAUAUUGCUCAAUGGGAGAAAUCCUGAAGCAGCAACGCCGCGUGGAGGAUGAAGGGCUUUCAGCUUGUAAACUCCUGUAAAGAAGGAAAAAAUUCCCAUUAGAUGGGAGAUGAUGGUACUUCUAAAGUAAGCCCCGGCUAACUACGUG